Arachis ipaensis is the source of this 177-nucleotide non-coding RNA. The record is from RefSeq and is a predicted model, not a curated record. NCBI's taxonomy places the organism in Eukaryota, Viridiplantae, Streptophyta, Magnoliopsida, Fabales, Fabaceae.
GUUGUUGCAACUGUGGCAUUUGGUAUGUGGGACUGGAUAAAAGUGAUGUUGGAGCUGUAAUUCAUUAUAGUCUGCCUAAAAGUCUGGAGGAGUAUGUGCAGGAGAUAGGCCGUGCUGGAAGGGAUGGGAGGUUGUCCUAUUGUCAGCUAUUCUAUGAUGAUGAAACAUAUUUCAAAC